AGAGUUUGAUCAUGGCUCAGGAUCAACGCUGGCGGCGUGCCUAAUGCAUGCAAGUCGAGCGCGGACCCCUUCGGGGGUGGGUCAGCGGCGAACGGUCGCGUAACACGUAGGCAACCUGCCCCGAAGCGGGGGACAACGGCCUGAAAGGGCCGCUAAUACCGCAUGUGGCCAUCUCCCCGCCUGGGGGGAUGUCUAAAGGGACUUCGGUCUCACUUCGGGAUGGGCCUGCGGCCUAUCAGCUAGUUGGCGGGGUAACGGCUCACCAAGGCUUCGACGGGUAGCUGGUCUGAGAGGAUGUCCAGCCGGAUUGGGACUGAGAUACGGCCCAGACUCCUACGGGAGGCAGCAGUGGGGAAUAUUGCACAAUGGGCGAAAGCCUGAUGCAGCGACGCCGCGUGAGGGAUGACGGCCUUCGGGUUGUAAACCUCUUUCAGUAGGGAAGAAGCGAAAGUGACGGUACCUGCAGAAGAAGCGCCGGCUAACUACGUGCCAGCAGCCGCGGUAAUACGUAGGGCGCAAGCGUUAUCCGGAAUUAUUGGGCGUAAAGAGCUCGUAGGCGGUUUGUCGCGUCUGCCGUGAAAGUCCGGGGCUCAACUCCGGAUCUGCGGUGGGUACGGGCAGACUAGAGUGAUGUAGGGGAGACUGGAAUUCCUGGUGUAGCGGUGAAAUGCGCAGAUAUCAGGAGGAACACCGAUGGCGAAGGCAGGUCUCUGGGCAUUAACUGACGCUGAGGAGCGAAAGCAUGGGGAGCGAACAGGAUUAGAUACCCCAGUAGUCC
Molecule: ribosomal RNA, 778 nt
Filed under: uncultured Arthrobacter sp.
Lineage: Bacteria; Bacillati; Actinomycetota; Actinomycetes; Micrococcales; Micrococcaceae
Description: bacterial SSU rRNA
Rfam family: Bacterial small subunit ribosomal RNA
Source: RNAcentral